UUUCUGUAUUUCUGUAUUUCUGUAUUCAUCGGGACCUAUAUGUUCUGGAUCAGUUUACUGACUGUAUCAUAAAGCUCCUAAAAUUACAAAAUGCCGGCUUCAAGAAUUCUGUAAGUUUUUACAGACCAAUCAUAUGGUCUAUGUCAUGUGUCAAGAUUGAAUGCGUGAACGUUCUUCAUGUUAAAAAGUAUAGUGAAACAAGAUAAAAAUUUGUCAAAGUUUAGAUGGAAUUCUUAUAGUCACACUUAAAUUGACUACCAGGAGACAUGGAAUCACUGUCGUCAUAUUUAAGUUAUACGGAUAGCUUUAACAAACAGGUUCAUGUUUUUUUUUAAACGUAUCUUCUAUUAAUCACAUUUGUCGUAGGGCACAUGGUACACAUGCGGUUACUAUAGGCUCACCAAAGUGAUCAAUGUUUUAUGAAGUAUUGGUCUUGAUUUUUAUUACGUACCUAAUGUUACUGUGUCUAUGAAAUAUCUGUCUUGCUACCUGGCUGUAAAAUAAUCAAAUGCCCACCCCCCCCAACAAAAAAAAGUGAAAAGUGGAAGCAGGUCUGGGCCCUGUCUUACAAAGAGUUACGAUUGAUCCGAUAAAUCGCAACUAUGGACGGCAGCAACGUCAACAUGUAUUACCCCUGGUUGUUCAAAAUAUGAUCUAUGAUUUAUAUUCAUGCAUUCAUUGUUUUCUUGAACAUUCACUGUGCGUCUCUUUAUUUACAAAGGACAUUGUGCAAAUUUCCUGUAAAAUAUAUAUAUGAUACUGAUGGAUUUCCAUAGAGUUAUGAUUGAUUGGAUCAAUCGCAACUCUGUGUAAGAUGGGGCCUGAUAUAUUUACUUGUAAAAUGAAAACGCCUUGCAUGUUAGUGAAAAGUGGUAGCAGGUUUGGUAUUCUUGCUUGUAAUCUGAAAACGCCAUGCAUGUUUAGUGGAAAAUGGUAGCAGGUCUGAUGUUCUUGUAAACUGAAAACGCCAUGCAUGUUUAGUGGAAAAUGGUAUAGCAGGUCUGAUAUUCUUGUAAACUGAAAACGCCAUGCACGUUUAGUGGAAAGUGGUAGAAGGUCUGAUAUCUUACUUGUAAACUGAAAACACCAUGCAUGUUUAGUGGAAAGUGGUAGCAGGUCUGAUAUUCUUACUUGUAAACUGAAAACGCCAUGCAUGUUUAGUGGAAAGUGGUAGCAGGUCUGAUAUUUUUACUUGUAAACUGAAAACACCAUGCAUGUUUAGUGGAAAAUGGUAGCAGGUCUGAUAUUUUUACUUGUAAACUGAAAACACCAUGCAUGUUUAGUGGAAAAUGGUAGCAGUCUGAUAUUCUUACUUGUAAACUGAAAACGCCAUGCAUGUUAGUGAAAAGUGGUAGCAGGUUUGAUAAUCUUACUUGUAAACUGAAAACGCCGAGCAUGUUUAUUGAAAAAUGGUAUAGCAGGUCUUAUAUUCUUGUAAACUGAAAACGCCAUGCAUGUUUAGUGGAAAGCGGUAGAAGGUCUGAUAUCUUACUUGUAAACUGAAAACACCAUGCAUGUUUAGUGGAAAGUGGCAGCAGGUCUGAUAUUCUUACUUGUAAACUGAAAACGCCUUGCAUGUUUAGUGGAAAGUGGUAGCAGGUCUGAUAUUCUUACUUGUAAACUGAAAACGCCAUGCAUGUUUAGUGGAAAGUGGUAGCAGGUCUGAUAUUUUUACUUGUAAACUGAAAACACCAUGCAUGAUUAGUGGAAAAUGGUAGCAGUCUGAUAUUCUUACUUGUAAACUGAAAACGCCAUGCAGGUUAGUGAAAAGUGGUAGCAGGUUUGAUAAUCUUACUUGUAAACUGAAAACGCCAUGCAUGUUUAGUGGAAAAUGGUAUAGCAGGUCUUAUAUUCUUGUAAACUGAAAACGCCAUGCAUGUUUAGUGGAAAAUGGUAGAAGGUCUGAUAUCUUACUUGUAAACUGAAAACACCAUGCAUGUUUAGUGGAAAGUGGUAGAAGGUCUGAUAUUCUUACUUGUAAACUGAGAACACCAUGCAUGUUUAGUAGAAAGUGGUAGCAGGUCUGAUAUUGUUACUUAUAAACUGAAAACUCCAUCUUUAGUGGAAAGUGGUAGCAGGUCUGAUAUUUUUACUUGUGAACUGAAAACGCCAUCUUUAGUAAAAAGUGGUAGCAGGUUUGAUAUUCUUACUUGUAAAAUGAAAACACCAUGCAUGUUUAGUGGAAAGUGGUAGCAGGUCUGAUAUUGGUACUUGUAAACUGAAAACGCCAUCUUUAGUGGAAAGUGGUAGCAGGUCUGAUAUUCUUACUAUUGAACUGAAAACGCCAUCUUUAGUAAAACGUGGUAGCAGGUUUGAUAUUCUUACUUGUAAACUGAAAAGGCCAUCUUUAGUAAAAAGUGGUAGCAGGUCUAAUAUUCUUACUUGUAAACUGAAAAUGCCAUGCAUGUUUAGUGGAAAGUGGUAGCAGGUCUGAUAUUCUUACUUGUAAACUGAAAUCGCAUUGCAUGUUUAGUGGAAAGUGGUAGCGCGUAAAUGAUUUGUUAAUUCAUGAGGAAAAAAUAAAAAUAAGUCAACUACA
Molecule: long non-coding RNA, 2539 nt
Organism: Lytechinus variegatus (green sea urchin)
Lineage: Eukaryota; Metazoa; Echinodermata; Echinoidea; Temnopleuroida; Toxopneustidae
Exons: 3
Source: RefSeq, a predicted model, not a curated record